Long non-coding RNA from Astyanax mexicanus (Mexican tetra), 579 nucleotides. RefSeq lists it as uncharacterized. The record is from RefSeq and is a predicted model, not a curated record. The transcript is spliced from 3 exons. NCBI's taxonomy places the organism in Eukaryota, Metazoa, Chordata, Actinopteri, Characiformes, Acestrorhamphidae.
AUAGAGAGAGGUGAAGAACGGUAUUGGUAGAGGGAGGUAGAAGUAUUGAGAGAGAGAGAGAGAGAGACAGACAGAAAAGUGGGAAGGUAGAUAGAGAGGUAGAUAUAUUGGUAGAGAGUUCAACAGGUGGGGAGGUAGAGAAGGGUUAGAGGUAGAUAAAGAGAGAUGAAGAGAGGUAUUGGUAGAGAGAGAAAGACAGGUGGGGUGAUUGAGGGUUGUAGAGGUAUUGUGGGAGAGAGAGAGAGAGAGACAGAUAGAGGUGAAUAGAGGUAGAGAUGUAGAGGAAAAAUGUUGUAGGUUGAGGAAUAGAGGCGGUUAGUAUGUUCUUGUUUAGUGUUUGCUAGGCAGUUGCUAUGGUAUCCCAGGUGGUCGCUGUGGUGGUGGUGAUAAGUACAGUAGUUGCUAGGUGAUUGCAACGGUGGUAGAUAGAUACAUUUCAGGGGGUUGUUGUGUUCUUGUUUACUGUUUUAGGUAGGUGGUUGCCGUGGUGUUUAUAUGUAUGAUUUUUUUCAUUGCCUCUUCAAGGAGUACAGGUGUACAUGAGUGUAACAUCUUGGGUGCAGGUUUGUUCGCACUAGU